AUGCCAAGGGGUGGAAUGAUGGGAGCAGUCAUAAAGGAUACAUCACUCAAGACAAGCAGGAGAACUUCUAGACAGUAUCAACUUCUUAGCAAACUAAAGAGCGGGUCAACUAAAGGAGAAGGGAAGAUGGAUUUGUUCCUGGUCCUCAAGCAUUUAUUUCUGCAUACUGGUCUUCCAAGCGAUGCUCUUGAAAAUAGGAGCAAGAAUAUAGCAGCAAUCAACCUGGAAAACAAUGUACAAUCACCUGAAGUGUCUGAACCCAGGGCUAAAAUGAAGGGCCCAGGCCUAAUUCUUCAGGAAAUGUGCUGUUUUGUCUUGGACUUGAAGCAGCAAACAUAAAGUAUAUUUUAUAUGAACACAUAUCAGUGCAGACUGCAUUCUGUCUCAAAAACGUGGGCUGCUUUAUCUAAGAAAAAAGGCUUUGUUUUCUGUUUGAAAAAGACAACGAGAAUUUUGGAUGGAAACUGAGAUGAGAACAGUAAGCCGUAUCAGUAACAGUGCUGAUCACAGCUGAAGUGUAUGUUACCAAGGUGACCACACUUACAGACUCAUGCUGAACUCAUCAGUAAUCAAGAGUUUAACUAGCAACAUCUCUAAAAGUUACAUCUCUGCCUUGGCUAAAAUAUAAAAG
Molecule: long non-coding RNA, 631 nt
Filed under: Anser brachyrhynchus (Pink-footed goose)
Lineage: Eukaryota; Metazoa; Chordata; Aves; Anseriformes; Anatidae
Description: lncRNA (ENSABRG00000020959.1)
Source: RNAcentral